AGAGUUUGAUCCUGGCUCAGAUUGAACGCUGGCGGCAGGCCUAACACAUGCAAGUCGAACGGUAACAGGGAGCAGCUUGCUGCUCUGCUGACGAGUGGCGGACGGGUGAGUAAUGUCUGGGGAUCUGCCCGAUGGAGGGGGAUAACCACUGGAAACGGUGGCUAAUACCGCAUACGUCGCAAGACCAAAGUGGGGGACCUUCGGGCCUCACACCAUCGGAUGAACCCAGAUGGGAUUAGCUAGUAGGUGGGGUAACGGCUCACCUAGGCGACGAUCCCUAGCUGGUCUGAGAGGAUGACCAGCCACACUGGAACUGAGACACGAUCCAGACUCCUACGGGAGGCAGCAGUGGGGAAUAUUGCACAAUGGGCGCAAGCCUGAUGCAGCCAUGCCGCGUGUAUGAAGAAGGCCUUCGGGUUGUAAAGUACUUUCAGCGGGGAGGAAGGGGUGAGGCUUAAUACGCUUCGUCAUUGACGUUACCCGCAGAAGAAGCACCGGCUACUCCGUGCCAGCAGCCGCGGUAAUACGGAGGGUGCAAGCGUUAAUCGGAAUUACUGGGCGUAAAGCGCACGCAGGCGGUCUGUCAAGUCGGAUGUGAAAUCCCCGGGCUCAACCCGGGAACUGCAUUCGAAACUGGCAGGCUAGAGUCUCGUAGAGGGGGGUAGAAUUCCAGGUGUAGCGGUGAAAUGCGUAGAGAUCUGGAGGAAUACCGGUGGCGAAGGCGGCCCCCUGGACGAAGACUGACGCUCAGGUGCGAAAGCGUGGGGAGCAAACAGGAUUAGAUACCCUAGUAGUCC
This 797-nucleotide ribosomal RNA is filed under the name uncultured bacterium. RNAcentral's name for it is "bacterial SSU rRNA". It matches the Rfam family "Bacterial small subunit ribosomal RNA", at positions 8 to 796 of the family's 1533-position model. The record is from RNAcentral.